GACGAACGCUGGCGGCGUGCCUAAUACAUGCAAGUAGAACGCACAGUUUAUACCGUAGCUUGCUACACCAUAAACUGUGAGUUGCGAACGGGUGAGUAACGCGUAGGUAACCUGCCUGGUAGCGGGGGAUAACUAUUGGAAACGAUAGCUAAUACCGCAUAAUAUUAAUUAUUGCAUGAUAAUUGAUUGAAAGAUGCAAUUGCAUCACUACCAGAUGGACCUGCGUUGUAUUAGCUAGUAGGUGAGGUAACGGCUCACCUAGGCGACGAUACAUAGCCGACCUGAGAGGGUGAUCGGCCACACUGGGACUGAGACACGGCCCAGACUCCUACGGGAGGCAGCAGUAGGGAAUCUUCGGCAAUGGACGAAAGUCUGACCGGGCAACGCCGCGUGAGUGAAGAAGGUUUUCGGAUCGUAAAGCUCUGUUGUAAGAGAAGAACGGGUGUGAGAGUGGAAAGUUCACACUGUGACGGUAUCUUACCAGAAAGAGACGGCUAACUACGUG
RNAcentral lists this ribosomal RNA (505 nucleotides) under uncultured bacterium. RNAcentral describes it as "partial 16S ribosomal RNA". It matches the Rfam family "Bacterial small subunit ribosomal RNA", at positions 28 to 507 of the family's 1533-position model. The record is from RNAcentral.